Molecule: ribosomal RNA, 306 nt
Filed under: uncultured bacterium
Lineage: Bacteria
Description: partial 16S ribosomal RNA
Rfam family: Bacterial small subunit ribosomal RNA
Source: RNAcentral
GACAGCAGUCGCCGCGGUAAUACGGAGGGAGCUAGCGUUGUUCGGAAUUACUGGGCGUAAAGCGCACGUAGGCGGUUAUUCAAGUCAGAGGUGAAAGCCCGGGGCUCAACCCCGGAACUGCCUUUGAAACUAGAUGACUGGAAUCUUGGAGAGGUCAGUGGAAUUCCGAGUGUAGAGGUGAAAUUCGUAGAUAUUCGGAAGAACACCAGUGGCGAAGGCGACUGACUGGACAAGUAUUGACGCUGAGGUGCGAAAGCGUGGGGAGCAAACAGGAUUAGAUACCCCCGUAGUCCCUGUCUCUUAUAC